UCGUAAAAAAUAGAUAGUUUAAGAUGCAAUAAAAAAUAUUUAUUUAAUAAAUAUAAUAUGAACGAAUAUUACAAAUACAUCAUUUAAUAAAAUAAAUAAUUAAAAACUGAAAAUUCAGAGUCUAGUUUAGUUUUAAAUGGAAGACUAUGAAUUAAUGAUUUGUUGUAAAUCUUUAAUAAAUGCCAGUGGAUCAUUGUGACUUGGGUUGGAUAGGUCGGCGAUACCUUGACUUAGGAAAUUAUAAGGUAGUUUACUUAUGAUUCUACUUUAAUCCUCGUUUCUAUAAACUGUGAGUUGGACGAAAUUUCCUUUCUCUGUAUUUAUUGACUUCUCUGAUGUAAAAGUUACUUUCUUUUGUUUAUAAUUUACUACACGUUUUCAAACUUCUUUUAAAAAAAUGUGAAAACCAGAUCAUGUAGUCUGCUUAUUUGUGCUGUUACCAUUGUUAUGUUACAACCCAAAUUUACAUCCGUAUGAUAUUUAUAUGUUGGGUAUUACUAUUUGACCAGGACUAUGAAAAUGAGUGGGCAUGCGAGUAUAUCAAAACGAAACAGGCAGUUUUGAGGUGAAAAGGAAAGAAAAAGAGUUGCACGUUUUGUAACUCAUGAUCAUAACAUAAAGAAGACAGUGACGCGUGAUAAGAAUGGAAACUUGCAUUGCAUUCGUUAACGUGUGGCGUUGUAUUGGAUUAGUCGACGUUGACUUGCAACUUUUUAGGUCUUCCACUAAUCAAACUUUGAAGUUUUCAAUGGCCAAGACGUCCUAAUUCUUACCUUUAUGAUUGGAUGGUGUAAAAAACUUCCAACUCAUCAUUCAUAUUUCGUGUGGAGUAAGAUUGGGGUGCCAAUAAGAACAACUUUCUUGAUUGAUUGUUUUAGUUGUGGUUUCGCUUAUCAAUGUUGAAUCUUUCUGGAAUUAUUCUGAAUUGAGUAGAUGUUUGGUAUGGAACUCCAGACACUGACGGUUUCUCAAUUAUGCUAAUGGAUCAGCUAGAUUUUAUCUCGGAUCUUGAGUCUUAUAGAAAGAGAGAAGAUCAAGAUUCUUUUGGUUCGGACACGGAAAGGUGAUGUGCAGAUCUUCUUAACAUAUGUCACAAAAUAAAACUAUAUAGUUAGUUCAAAAGAGUCUCUUUCUCUGUUACUCCUCCCCAUUCUCUUAUCCUCUCUUCUGCCAUAGCAGCCUGAAAUAUACAUCACUUAAAAGAUUGAAACAAUGGUUGAGUGACAACUUGUUCAACCAGUCUUAAUAUUGUUGGUUCCUCACCUCUUUGGCCCAGUUGGUUGUGCAAAUCAUCCAAGUCAAAAUUAUAGACUGAACAAAAGUUCCCGUCAUCAUCCCCCACCAAAUACCCUAAUCAUAAAAGUUUCCAUAACAUCAAAGACUAUGGUCUUUCGUCUCAUUUAUAAAAGUUUUAUAGAUAAACGAUUCUGAAUUUCAUUACCAUAACGCCAUAUUCAAACUUAAAACCCAACAGAAGACCAAAUGGGAUUCCAAACAAGUAAUAGCAAGCUAUGUUCACAUACGCAACAACUGCUUGCCAUCCAGCUCCCACAGCCACUCCUGCAUUAUAAAGGCAAGCAUUGGUGUGAGUUCUCUAACCACAUUCCUAACUACUUCAUCUUCCACAAACAAAACCGGAUACUCUUCUCGGAAGAAGAGUAAAACCGCCGCUAUAAGCAUCCCCAUCGCUGUUGAUACUAUCACCGCCACAACUAGAGAGAACUUGGCCGUUCGUGGGUGGCUAGCUCCUAGCUCAUUUGAUACUCUCACACUGGCAGGACAGGAAAAAAAAGGAUAUCAUUAUAGCUUGGUAGUUGGUACGUGUGACAUGUGUAGAACUUGUAAAUAGUUUAGUUUUCACUCGCGGAGAUUUACCUUACUGCUGCAUUUAUCCCAACUGAAACCAUGACUGCCCAUCCCAAAAUGUUCAUGCUUCAUUUUACACAUGCAUGUAAACAUAUAAUUAGAGAGUGAUUUGUAAUAAAAUACUGAGUUUUUGAAUUUUCUUCGUCAUUUUUAUAUAUCCAUAUUUUACAAUUUAAUUAAUAUAUAUG
This is a long non-coding RNA of Brassica napus (rape), 2054 nucleotides long. RefSeq lists it as uncharacterized. The record is from RefSeq and is a predicted model, not a curated record. NCBI's taxonomy places the organism in Eukaryota, Viridiplantae, Streptophyta, Magnoliopsida, Brassicales, Brassicaceae. The transcript is spliced from 3 exons.